This 253-nucleotide ribosomal RNA is filed under the name uncultured bacterium. Its description in RNAcentral is "partial 16S ribosomal RNA". It matches the Rfam family "Bacterial small subunit ribosomal RNA", at positions 524 to 776 of the family's 1533-position model. The record is from RNAcentral.
UACGUAGGUGGCAAGCGUUGUCCGGAUUUACUGGGCGUAAAGAGCGCGCAGGCGGUCGUUCAAGUCGCGUGUGAAAGCCCCCGGCUCAACUGGGGAGGGUCACGCGAUACUGAUCGACUGGAAGGCAGGAGAGGGUAGUGGAAUUCCCGGUGUAGUGGUGAAAUGCGUAGAUAUCAGGAGGAACACCGGUGGCGAAGGCGGGUCUCUGGGCCGAUACUGACGCUGAGGAGCGAAAGCGUGGGGAGCGAACAGG